GAUGAACGCUGGCGGCGUGCCUAAUACAUGCAAGUCGAGCGAACGGACGAGAAGCUUGCUUCUCUGAUGUUAGCGGCGGACGGGUGAGUAACACGUGGAUAACCUACCUAUAAGACUGGGAUAACUUCGGGAAACCGGAGCUAAUACCGGAUAAUAUUUUGAACCGCAUGGUUCAAAAGUGAAAGACGGUCUUGCUGCCACUUAUAGAUGGAUCCGCGCUGCAUUAGCUAUUUGGUAAUGUAACGGCUUACCAAGGCAACGAUGCAUAGCCGACCUGAGAGGGUGAUCGGCCACACUUGAACUGAGACACGGUCCAGACUCCUACGGGAGGCAGCAGUAGGGAAUCUUCAGCAAUGGGCGAAAGCCUGACGGAGCAACGCCGCGUGAGUGAGGAAGGUCUUCGGAUCGUAAAACUCUGUUAUUAGGGAAGAACAUAUGUGUAAGUAACUGUGCACAUCUUGACGGUACCUAAUCAGAAAGCCACGGCUAAAUACGUG
Molecule: ribosomal RNA, 497 nt
Filed under: uncultured bacterium
Lineage: Bacteria
Description: partial 16S ribosomal RNA
Rfam family: Bacterial small subunit ribosomal RNA
Source: RNAcentral